CAGCCUGGGUGCUGCGGGCUCCAUUCUAGCCUGAGGGCCAUGCGACACGCCCAGACCAGAUACAACCUCUUAGAGUUAGGCACAAAGUUAGAGAAGUGAUGAGAAUAACUUGCUCUGCAUGUCACAACAAAGCCAAGCCAAGCCUUGCUGACUUCCCCCGAGUUCUUCCCCCAGGUCCCAUAAAGUCCUUCUGAAGUGUCUGUGUGUGGCAAAGCCGGGAGUGACCCUCUGACUGCCUGUGGGUGAUGGUGUGAAGGAGGGACAGCUUGAGGUCUGGGGACCUGGGUCUAGGACCGCCCCGCCACGCCUAGAUGCCCUUCCUUUCUCUAGUUCCUUCUGCUGAGCGGGCACCCCGUUCACAGAGCCGGGGAGGAACCAGGGGAGGAGAAGGAAGAUGGUCAGUAGGCACUUUGAGAAGCUUUCUAGUAAUUGAAACUGGCCCCCAAGGGGACACUGUCUAGAGAAAUGAGGUGUACGGGAGACCAAGUCUUCUCGGUCUCAGUGCUGUGGACACCCUGGGCUGGAGAUUCUUGGUGGCAGGGCUGUCUUGUGUACUGCAGGAUGGUUAAUCCUGGUCUCCACCCCCCAGAUGCCAGAAACAGCCCCCAACAUCCCAGCUGUGACAACUAGUAUCUCUAGAUAUUGCCAAAUGUCCCACGGGAGACACG
This 668-nucleotide long non-coding RNA is filed under the name Marmota monax (woodchuck). The record is from RNAcentral. Lineage: Eukaryota; Metazoa; Chordata; Mammalia; Rodentia; Sciuridae.